This 440-nucleotide ribosomal RNA is filed under the name uncultured bacterium. Its description in RNAcentral is "partial 16S ribosomal RNA". It matches the Rfam family "Bacterial small subunit ribosomal RNA", at positions 338 to 795 of the family's 1533-position model. The record is from RNAcentral.
CCUACGGGUGGCUGCAGUGGGGAAUAUUGCACAAUGGGGGAAACCCUGAUGCAGCGACGCCGCGUGAGUGAAGAAGUAUUUCGGUAUGUAAAGCUCUGUUAGUAGGGAAGAAAAUGACGGUACCUGACCAAGAAGCACCGGCUAACUACGUGCCAGCAGCCGCAGUAAUACGUAGGCGGCAAGCGUUAUCCGGAUUUACUGGGUGUAAGGGGGGCGCAGACGGGAAUGCAAGUCAGAAGUGAAAGCCCGGGGCGCAACCCCGGAACUGCUCUUGAAACUGCAUGGCUGGAGUACAGGAGGGGCAGGCGGAAUGCCUGGUGUAGCGGUGAAAUGCGUAGAUAUUAGGAGGAACACCGGUGGCGAAGGCGGCCUGCUAAACUAUAACUGACGUUGAGGCCCGAAGGCGUGGGGAGCAAACAGGAUUAGAUACCCGGGUAGUC